GUACACGCUGUGACUAGCAUAUCAAUAAGCGGAGGAAAAGAAACUAACAAGGAUUCCCCUAGUAACGGCGAGUGAAGCGGGAAGAGCUCAAAUUUGAAAUCUUAAAGGGUUUCCCUGUACGAAUUGUAGUUUAAAGAAGCGUUUUCUGUUGAGGUUUUGGUAAAAGUUCUUUGGAAUAGGACAUCAUAGAGGGUGAGAAUCCCGUAUUUGACCUUUACUUUCAACUUUGUGAUACACUUUCAAAGAGUCGGAUUGUUUGGGAAUGCAGUCCAAAAUGAGUGGUAAAUUUCAUCUAAAGCUAAAUAUUGGCGAGAGACCAAUAGCGAACAAGUACCGUGAGGGAAAGAUGAAAAGAACUUUGAAAAGAGAGUUAAACAGUACGUGAAAUUGUCAAAAGGGAAGCGUUUGACACCAGUGUUGUUUUUCUGAAAAUCAAUUAAAGAACUGUUUAUGCUAAGUUGUUUAGACUUUAUCAGCUAUCUGCUUAGUUUUGAGCUUUUCUUUAAUGCACUUUUCAGUUAACAAGUCAACAUCAAUUUCUUUUGCUGUAAAAAAGCUUGAGGGAAGGUGGCUUGAGAUUCGUCUUAAGUGUUUAUAGCCUCUUGCCUAUGCAGUCGGAGAGAUUGAGGUCUGCAGCGUAGAUCCUUCGGGGCUAAAUGCAUUUGUGCUAAGUUAUAACAUUUUAUAGACAACUUGUUGACUAUGAUUUGUCUUGUAGCUUACUCGCUUAUGUUAUUUUACCUACGCUUAGGAUGUUGACGAGACUGUCGAUCUC
Molecule: ribosomal RNA, 775 nt
Filed under: uncultured Neocallimastigales
Lineage: Eukaryota; Fungi; Neocallimastigomycota; Neocallimastigomycetes; Neocallimastigales
Description: partial large subunit ribosomal RNA
Rfam family: Eukaryotic large subunit ribosomal RNA
Source: RNAcentral